This 625-nucleotide ribosomal RNA is filed under the name Caecomyces sp. RNAcentral's name for it is "bacterial SSU rRNA". The stretch from base 1 to 309 matches the Rfam family "Eukaryotic small subunit ribosomal RNA", at positions 1524 to 1831 of the family's 1831-position model. The record is from RNAcentral. Lineage: Eukaryota; Fungi; Neocallimastigomycota; Neocallimastigomycetes; Neocallimastigales; Neocallimastigaceae.
CAUCCUUGAUCGGAAGGUCCGGGUAAUCUUUUGAAACUUCAUCGUGCUGGGGAUAGUCCCUUGCAAUUUUUGGACUUUAACGAGGAAUUCCUAGUAAGCGUGAGUCAUCAACUCGCGUUGAUUACGUCCCUGCCCUUUGUACACACCGCCCGUCGCUACUACCGAUUGAAUGGCUUAGUGAAUCCUUCGGAUUGGCUUUCUUUUCUGGCAACAGAAUUUGAUCGCUGAAAAGUUGGGCAAACUUGGUCAUUUAGAGGAAGUAAAAGUCGUAACAAGGUUUCCGUAGGUGAACCUGCGGAAGGAUCAUUAAAAAAUGAGACCUCUGAUUUAAGGGGUCUAUUAAUAAUCCUACCCUUUGUGAAUUUGUUUGUUUUUUAAUUUGUGUCUUUCCCUGUUUUUUGAUGGAGCUUGUUAAAAAGCAAAAUCAAAUGCAGGGGAAUGGCAAAACCUUUUUUUAAAAUUAAACAUUUUGUAUUCAUUUGUCUAAAAUUAUUUUUAUAAUAUAAAAACAACUUUUGACAAUGGAUCUCUUGGUUCUCGCAACGAUGAAGAACGCAGCAAAAUGCGAUAAGUAAUGUGAAUUGCAGAAUACGUGAAUCAUCGAAUCUUCGAACGCAUAUUGCAC